CACUGAGAGGUGGUGCUGACAUUCUGUAUGGACAACAGUUUUCAAGGCAUUGUCGGUACAGGAUAUCUUCUGGAGAUCUCAAAUGCCAGGCUUUCAAAAUCCAAGGAAGGUCUAAUCAGCAUUUCAUUACCAUGUCUAGAGCAACAUAGAAGUGAAUCUCCAGCCUGCAAUUUGGCAAACUGUUUCUCUGUAAACAACAGGAGAUAUACACUGAACUACAGAAAAUGUUUUGCAAGAAGAACAGACCAGCA
This is a long non-coding RNA of Vidua chalybeata, 251 nucleotides long. RefSeq lists it as uncharacterized. NCBI's taxonomy places the organism in Eukaryota, Metazoa, Chordata, Aves, Passeriformes, Viduidae. The record is from RefSeq and is a predicted model, not a curated record. The transcript has 3 exons.